This 218-nucleotide non-coding RNA is filed under the name Thermobacillus composti. RNAcentral also lists the same sequence under 1 other name. Lineage: Bacteria; Bacillati; Bacillota; Bacilli; Caryophanales; Paenibacillaceae. The record is from RNAcentral.
UUGCAUAUUGCGGAUACGGGUGCCAGGCCGCCGCGCCCUGAGCGGAGGCCGGCUUAAUAGGGAAGACCGGUGAGAAUCCGGCACGGACCCGCCACUGUGAGAAGCGCGCAAGCCCAAAUCGCCUUGCGCAAGCGAACGCCAUCCAUGUCACUGGGAAACCGGGAAGACGGCAUUCGUGCACUUCGAGUCAGGAGACCUGCCCGCUAUCCUUGCCAGAC